AUCAUGGCUCAGGAUGAACGCUGGCGGCGUGCUUAAUACAUGCAAGUCGAACGAAGUUUCUCGCGAAGUUACUUCAUGAGAAACUAGUGGCGGACGGGUGAGUACGCGUGGGUAACCUGCCUUACACAGGGGGAUAACAGUUAGAAAUGACUGCUAAUACCGCAUAAGCGCACAGAAUCGCAUGAUUCAGUGUGAAAAGAUUUAUCGGUGUAAGAUGGACCCGCGUCUGAUUUAGCUAGUUGGUGAGGUAACGGCCCACCAAGGCGACGAUCAGUAGCCGGCCUGAGAGGGUGAACGGCCACAUUGGGACUGAGACACGGCCCAAACUCCUACGGGAGGCAGCAGUAGGGAAUAUUGGACAAUGGGGGAAACCCUGAUCCAAGCGACGCCGCGUGAGUGAAGAAGUAUUUCGGUACGUAAAGCUCUAUCAGCAGGGAAGAAAAUGACGGUACCUGACUAAGAAGCACCGGCUAAAUACGUGCCAGCAGCAGC
This 492-nucleotide ribosomal RNA is filed under the name uncultured bacterium. Its description in RNAcentral is "bacterial SSU rRNA". It matches the Rfam family "Bacterial small subunit ribosomal RNA", at positions 16 to 518 of the family's 1533-position model. The record is from RNAcentral.